CCUACGGGAGGCAGCAGUAGGGAAUAUUGCUCAAUGGGGGAAACCCUGAAGCAGCAACGCCGCGUGGAGGAUGAAGGUUUUCGGAUUGUAAACUCCUUUGGUUAGAGAAGAUAAUGACGGUAUCUAACGAAUAAGCACCGGCUAACUCCGUGCCAGAAGCCGCGGUAAUACGGAGGGUGCAAGCGUUACUCGGAAGCACUGGGCGGAAAGAGCGCGUAGGCGGGAUAGCAAGUCAGAUGUUAAAUCCUAUGGCUUAACCAUAGAACUGCAUUUGAAACUGUAAUUCUAGAGUAUGGGAGAGGUAGGUAGAAUUCUUGGUGUAGGGGUAAAAUCCGUAGAGAUCAAGAGGAAUACUCAUUGCGAAGGCGACCUGCUAGAACAUAACUGACGCUGAUGCGCGAAAGCGUGGGGAGCAAACAGGAUUAGAUACCCGGGUAGUC
This 440-nucleotide ribosomal RNA is filed under the name uncultured bacterium. RNAcentral describes it as "partial 16S ribosomal RNA". It matches the Rfam family "Bacterial small subunit ribosomal RNA", at positions 338 to 795 of the family's 1533-position model. The record is from RNAcentral.